Molecule: long non-coding RNA, 378 nt
Filed under: Homo sapiens (human)
Lineage: Eukaryota; Metazoa; Chordata; Mammalia; Primates; Hominidae
Description: non-protein coding lnc-KLRB1-3:1
Source: RNAcentral
UUGUUCCGGCAGCCUUUCACUGAGGGGACCCGCCAGUUUCAAAUUCAGUGGCGUUUGCCCUGAUUCCCGGGGCCUGGCUUUCAGCGUAGCAAUUCUGCCGGCGAAGAAGGUGAGCGCAGUGCUGUGUGGCAGCAGAGGUCCUUAGGACGAGGAGCAGCGGGACGAGGAAGGGCAGACUGGUGAAAUCGCAAACUGGGCGUCUGUUCCGGCGCCGGACCCCUGUUUGCAAAGGACUUCACAACGGGAUAAAGUGAAGUAGCUUCGGCUUGUGAAUGUGGUCCAUGGCUAAUGAAACACAGAAGGUUGGUGCCAUCCAUUUUCCUUUUCGAAGACUUCAUGGCAGAGCUGUACCGGGUUUUGGAGGCUGGCAAGAUUGGG